This is a long non-coding RNA of Homo sapiens (human), 801 nucleotides long. Ensembl annotates it as cytoskeleton regulator RNA. Its record names the gene CYTOR. The record is from Ensembl. Lineage: Eukaryota; Metazoa; Chordata; Mammalia; Primates; Hominidae.
ACACUCAGGGAGUACACCAUGUGAAGACUGGACUUAAACAGCUACACCACCAGAAGCCGAGAGAGAGGCUGGAACAUAGCCUUCCCUUUGGAGCCCUAGCAGAUGCUAAUCCAGCGUGCGUCCUGACAGAGGUUGAAGGGGGCUUCUCAAGUCCCAGGUCCAGCUUGGUGUGGUUCAGCUACUCAAGAGACAUCUGCUGCUAAUGGAUGAGCAGUCAACCUGGACGCAGGAAAUCAUUUUUUAUUUGGACUCAUGCCCAAAGUUACGGAGGACCCAGCAACCAUCUCCUGCAGCCCCUGGAAACCUCUUGACUCUUCUGUGAUGUCCCCAGUGAUCCAGCAGCCCUGGCCUUCUUUUGAUGGCUUGAACAUUUGGUCUUCAUUGAACAGUUUGUAUAUUGGAAACUUGCCAGCCUCCAUCCACAUUCCAACCUCCGUCUGCAUCCCUCGGUACAAAAUGGUUCAAUCUGUCUACCUCCUUUCACAUUCCACCAAGAUAUUCCAAGGCCCAGGGUUCCUUUGACCACCUCACACCUAACAAGUUCCCUCACUGUCUCUCACUCUCCCCUGAAGAUUCUAAGCUGCCUCUGUCCUGCUAAAACUGUAGACCUGAGAAUGAAGUAAGGUGCUUCAGGUGAGGCUUGAUCAGCCCAGAGCAGAAAGGGGCCACCUCCUCCCACCCUAUAAGACCCUAUUAGUGCACCUUGGAGCCCUUUGCUUGGCUGGUGGCUACAAUACACUUCUGUUAAUGACGGAAUUCCAUAACAUUUUUCCCCAUUAAUUUCUGCUACAAAACACAAAA